RNAcentral lists this small RNA (173 nucleotides) under Chrysemys picta bellii (western painted turtle). RNAcentral's name for it is "TUC338 (ENSCPBG00000008256.1)". Lineage: Eukaryota; Metazoa; Chordata; Testudines; Emydidae. The record is from RNAcentral.
AUGUAUCCAGUGCUGAAUUUGUUUCUGUAUUGUUCAGAGAAGAGCUGCAGUACAGCCAGUGGCAGUGCAAACUUCUCCACAUUAUGCCAACACUAUACCUCAGUCUUGCUCUUGAGGGACCACCUCUGGAUUUUGAAGGUUGUUCAGUCUACACCACUCAGUUCCUGGUUUAU